GCCCUUUUCUCUGGAAGCCUGGUUCUGAUGUCCUCAGCAGCUGACAUCUGUGGAAAAGGGCAACCUUGAUUCAGCCCCGGAUCACAUUUCACUCUGGUGGGGACAUUGCUGGGAACUAGAGCUUAGGCUGCCGGUUGACCGUAGGAGUAGCGAGAGGAAAGGAAUCCAUGUCCAAGAAAGAUGAGGAAAGUGGAGCACAGAGAAGUUAGUUAAUUUGCUCACAGUUACACAGCAAGGCUCUCUGGACACUGGCUCCUGGCAGCUGGCAGUCGACUCGGCAGGCAGCUGGAACUCAUGUCAGAACCAGAGAGGGUGUG
Molecule: long non-coding RNA, 317 nt
Organism: Pteropus alecto (black flying fox)
Lineage: Eukaryota; Metazoa; Chordata; Mammalia; Chiroptera; Pteropodidae
Exons: 4
Source: RefSeq, a predicted model, not a curated record